AUGGGUCGUACCAAUGUCAAUCCUAUUUGGGGUAAGAUUUGGAAAUUAUCGUGUCCGGCAAAGGUAAAAAUAUUUAUCUGGCGAACGUUGCAUGGAACUCCACUGUGUCGUGUUACACUUGCCAAUAGACAUAUGAAAGUUUCGCCCCUUUGUCCAUCAUGCUCGAAUGGGCAAGAAGAUACAAAACACAUCUUGUUUCUGUGUGAGAAGGCAAAAGAGGUUUGGGGUAAGCUGGGGAUGUACGAGGUAAUUAACCAAGCUUGUGUUAUUGAUCGUGCGGGUGAGGUGGUUCUUGAAUUCGUACUUCUUAUGAUGCACCAAGAAUUAUCUAUAUUAGGUUGCCAAAAUGCAAGUGAAUUAAUCGCGAUAACCGCUUGGUAUUUAUGGUGGGAGAGACGCACGUUGGUUCAUGAAGGGAAGUCUCAAGAUGUGAACCAAAUUUCGAUGGGGGUUCGUGCUAUAACGGCAAACUAUGUGAAUGCCCACUCCCCUAGUGCGACUAGUAGAAAAGAAGGAUGCUUCUUUUGA
RNAcentral lists this ribosomal RNA (528 nucleotides) under Triticum aestivum (bread wheat). Its description in RNAcentral is "partial small subunit ribosomal RNA". The record is from RNAcentral. Lineage: Eukaryota; Viridiplantae; Streptophyta; Magnoliopsida; Poales; Poaceae.